ACGAACGCUGGCGGCGUGCUUCACACCUGCAAGUCGAACGGAAAGGCCCUGCUUUUGUGGGGUGCUCGAGUGGCGAACGGGUGAGUAACACGUGAGUAACCUGCCCUUGACUUUGGGAUAACUUCAGGAAACUGGGACUAAUACCGGAUAGGAGCUCCUGCUGCAUGGUGGGGGUUGGAAAGUUUCGGCGGUUGGGGAUGGACUCGCGGCUUAUCAGCUUGUUGGUGGGGUAGUGGCUUACCAAGGCUUUGACGGGUAGCCGGCCUGAGAGGGUGACCGGCCACAUUGGGACUGAGAUACGGCCCAGACUCCUACGGGAGGCAGCAGUGGGGAAUAUUGCACAAUGGGCGGAAGCCUGAUGCAGCAACGCCGCGUGCGGGAUGACGGCCUUCGGGUUGUAAACCGCUUUCGCCUGUGACGAAGCGUGAGUGACGGUAAUGGGUAAAGAAGCACCGGCUAACUACGUG
Molecule: ribosomal RNA, 467 nt
Filed under: uncultured bacterium
Lineage: Bacteria
Description: partial 16S ribosomal RNA
Rfam family: Bacterial small subunit ribosomal RNA
Source: RNAcentral